GUGCGCACCGAGCGGCAGUGACUUCGCCGCUGCUGUAGUUCCCCGGCUGGAUGCGGUGACUGGUGCCAGUGCUCAGGCGCCCGCUGCCCUUGACCUCCCGCCCCGCGAGCCCUAACUCAGCGCAGGAGGACCGGCUGCCGCCGCCGCCGCCGCCAGAGCCAAGCACAGUGGGAACUUUCAGAAAGCACUGGUUGAAGGAACACUGGAAUCCCUGGGACUUACUGCGUAGCAUGUAGUAGUUGCUCCUGUAGAAAAGUUUCACCUUAUGAAGAAUAGCAGGUAAAAUACAAGCCUGGACCACUUCCCGUGUGGUAUGCAGGGAACGGUUGAUGGGGCAAAGGGCCUUGGGCUAUAUAGCCCUAGGAAUUUCAGAGAUCCUGAUGAUGGCUCUGGGAUCCUCCGUCUCCUGGAUCCUGCAUUUUUCUCUGCAGGCUCUGAUGGUGGUGUCUGGUAGAAGGUUACUCACAGCUCUGCUGCAGGCUCAGAAGUGGCCCUUUCAACCCUCCAGAGACAUGAGACUAGUGCAGUUCUGGGCACCCCACCUGGUGGGGCCUCACUUGGGCCUGGAGACAGGGAAUGGUAGAGGGAUUAUCAACCUCAAUGCCUUUGACCCCACACUCCCAAAGACAAUGACGCAGUUCCUAGAGCAGGGAGAGGCCACCCUCUCAGUGGCAAGAAGGUAAGUAAGUGGGCAGCAUCGCCCUGACACAGCUGCCCUGGUCCCCCCACAUCCUCCCCGCUCUGGGAAACAGCACCAGCAGGUAGCUCUUUUGCAAGGGAGCAGAGUAACC
Molecule: long non-coding RNA, 791 nt
Filed under: Homo sapiens (human)
Lineage: Eukaryota; Metazoa; Chordata; Mammalia; Primates; Hominidae
Description: non-protein coding lnc-CIAO1-6:1
Source: RNAcentral